UAUUCUCCGUUUGUUAAAACUAGUCCCUACACUUUUAUUUUUUUGAACAAUUUAAUUUUUUCGAGUGAGAUAAGCUUGUGGACUAGUUUUAACAAAUGAAAAAUA
This 105-nucleotide microRNA precursor is filed under the name Gossypium hirsutum (cotton). RNAcentral describes it as "miR7494 stem-loop (ghr-MIR7494)". Lineage: Eukaryota; Viridiplantae; Streptophyta; Magnoliopsida; Malvales; Malvaceae. The record is from miRBase by way of RNAcentral.